AAAACGUCCACCCUUUUACCCCCUCCCCCAAACAAACAAGAAAAACCCGAAUAGUCGCCCUUUUCACACUUCAUCAUCUUCCCCGUGUACGCGUGUGAUGAUACGCUGCCGCAUCUCGUGACGCGUGCGGUACCUGCGAGCCGCACACACACGCAGAGCAGCUUCGUUCGCGGCAUCGAAGUCAGUCAUGUGUGCAGCAAAGCACACCAUUCGAGAACUUCGCAACGUCGCGGAGAGCCCAUAUCGAGCACAGGUGCUCUCGUGGUACCGACGGUGCUUGCGUGCGGCCUUCACGGCGCCAUGGAGCUCCGACGAGGACGCUUUGUACGUCUUGGAGGAGACUCGGCGACUGUUCCACCAGAAUCAAGGUAUUCGCGAUUUGGAGCGCAUCGAGCGCAAGCUGCGUGAGGUUGAGAUGCGAUACGAGAUGGCGCUCCACUACAACAUUCCCUACCCGAGACCCUUCAACAAGAUGCAGGGCUCAAUGCAGGAGAGCGGGGUGCCGUACGCCGCUUACCUAGACUCUGCCUACGAUCACAUGGUCAACCCCCAUAUCGGCGUCAUCGCCGAAGGGAGCGCGAAUCUGGGGAUAAUGGGUGGGCUAGAAAAGUCUAGUCAAUACUUUGAGGACAGCACUGGGGAGGCUGACGUGGAUGGUCGAGCGAAUCCCUACGACACAGAGGCGGAGCCACCAUCCACUGUGCGCUGAUUUCGUCGGCGGCGCUGUGCCGCAUGUCGUGGAGUGUGCUGCGCUCCUUCUGGUCACGAUCACCCCUUUCCCCUCCAGUAUCGCCUUCACCCCGCUCGCUUCUCCUUUUUGCUUCACCCGCGUACAACUGCACUUACACAGGCAAAGCAGAGCUGUUCACUCCCCCCUCCCCCCUCCCGCUAGAACUGCACGUCGCGCCGCUAACGCACCUCUCUCCGUUUCCUAUGUGUUUCUCGCGCAGCUCUUGUGGAUGGGCUGCAGAAAGGCGACAAG
Molecule: unclassified non-coding RNA, 982 nt
Filed under: Leishmania donovani
Lineage: Eukaryota; Euglenozoa; Kinetoplastea; Trypanosomatida; Trypanosomatidae
Description: gene:LdHU3.34.5610(CDS-product:Complex_1_protein_ (LYR_family)/Complex1_LYR-like_putative)
Source: RNAcentral